RNAcentral lists this ribosomal RNA (966 nucleotides) under Bacillus subtilis. RNAcentral's name for it is "bacterial SSU rRNA". It matches the Rfam family "Bacterial small subunit ribosomal RNA", at positions 70 to 1018 of the family's 1533-position model. Lineage: Bacteria; Bacillati; Bacillota; Bacilli; Caryophanales; Bacillaceae. The record is from RNAcentral. RNAcentral also lists the same sequence under 1 other name.
AGAUGGGAGCUUGCUCCCUGAUGUUAGCGGCGGACGGGUGAGUAACACGUGGGUAACCUGCCUGUAAGACUGGGAUAACUCCGGGAAACCGGGGCUAAUACCGGAUGCUUGUUUGAACCGCAGGGUUCAAACAUAAAAGGUGGCUUCGGCUACCACUUACAGAUGGACCCGCGGCGCACUAGCUAGUUGGUGAGGUAAUGGCUCACCAAGGCAACGAUGCGUAGCCGACCUGAGAGGGUGAUCGGCCACACUGGGACUGAGACACGGCCCACACUCCUACGGGAGGCAGCAGUAGGGAAUCUUCCGCAAUGGACGAAAGUCUGACGGAGCAACGCCGCGUGAGUGAUGAAGGUUUUCGGAUCGUAAAGCUCUGUUGUUAGGGAAGAACAAGUGCCGUUCAAAUAGGGCGGCACCUUGACGGUACCUAACCAGAAAGCCACGGCUAACUACGUGCCAGCAGCCGCGGUAAUACGUAGGUGGCAAGCGUUGUCCGGAAUUAUUGGGCGUAAAGGGCUCGCAGGCGGUUUCUUAAGUCUGAUGUGAAAGCCCCCGGCUCAACCGGGGAGGGUCAUUGGAAACUGGGGAACUUGAGUGCAGAAGAGGAGAGUGGAAUUCCACGUGUAGCGGUGAAAUGCGUAGAGAUGUGGAGGAACACCAGUGGCGAAGGCGACUCUCUGGUCUGUAACUGACGCUGAGGAGCGAAAGCGUGGGGAGCGAACAGGAUUAGAUACCCUGGUAGUCCACGCCGUAAACGAUGAGUGCUAAGUGUUAGGGGGUUUCCGCCCCUUAGUGCUGCAGCUAACGCAUUAAGCACUCCGCCUGGGGAGUACGGUCGCAAGACUGAAACUCAAAGGAAUUGACGGGGGGCCCGCACAAGCGGUGGAGCAUGUGGUUUAAUUCGAAGCAACGCGAAAAACCUUACCCGGUCUUGACAUCCUCUGACCCCCCUAGAGAUAGGGCUUCCCC